AGAGGAGGAGGAGGAGGAGAGGGGAAGGGGAAGAAAAGCUGCUGCUCCAGAUGCACUAAGAAGUUUUUUAAUUGCAUUUAACAGCGUCCCUGCUGGUUCUCCAUUCUGCAUCCGUGCAGCCACGUUCUAUUGAUGGCCUGUUGUGAUUUCAAUGGAACAUCAUGGGAUGUACCUGGCACGUCGGGCAGCACUGGAUGGAGGUGCCUUUAGCCCAAUGUACCUGGCAUGGUGGUAAGGUGAAGGC
This 244-nucleotide long non-coding RNA is filed under the name Calidris pugnax (ruff). RNAcentral's name for it is "lncRNA (ENSCPUG00000006466.1)". Lineage: Eukaryota; Metazoa; Chordata; Aves; Charadriiformes; Scolopacidae. The record is from RNAcentral.